This 92-nucleotide transfer RNA is filed under the name Candidatus Omnitrophota bacterium. Its description in RNAcentral is "Candidatus Omnitrophica bacterium (sediment metagenome) tRNA-Ser". It matches the Rfam family "tRNA". From Rfam's summary of the family: Transfer RNA (tRNA) molecules are approximately 80 nucleotides in length. Their secondary structure includes four short double-helical elements and three loops (D, anti-codon, and T loops). Further hydrogen bonds mediate the characteristic L-shaped molecular structure. tRNAs have two regions of fundamental functional importance: the anti-codon, which is responsible for specific mRNA codon recognition, and the 3' end, to which the tRNAs corresponding amino acid is attached (by aminoacyl-tRNA synthetases). tRNAs cope with the degeneracy of the genetic code in two manners: having more than one tRNA (with a specific anti-codon) for a particular amino acid; and 'wobble' base-pairing, i.e. permitting non-standard base-pairing at the 3rd anti-codon position. Lineage: Bacteria; Pseudomonadati; Candidatus Omnitrophota. The record is from RNAcentral.
GGAGAGGUGGCCGAGUGGUUUAAGGCGCACGCCUGGAAAGCGUGUGGACGUCGAAAGGCGUCUCGAGAGUUCGAAUCUCUCCCUCUCCGCCA